UCUUUCUUUGCUGGCGACCGGCGCACGGGUGAGUAACACGUAUCCAACCUGCCUUUACUCGGGGAUAGCCUUUCGAAAGAAAGAUUAAUACCCGAUAGCAUAAUGAUUCCGCAUGGUUUCAUUAUUAAAGGAUUCCGGUAAAGGAUGGGGAUGCGUUCCAUUAGGUUGUUGGUGAGGUAACGGCCCACCAAGCCUUCGAUGGAUAGGGGUUCUGAGAGGGAGGUCCCCCACAUUGGAACUGAGACACGGUCCAA
Molecule: ribosomal RNA, 254 nt
Filed under: uncultured bacterium
Lineage: Bacteria
Description: partial 16S ribosomal RNA
Rfam family: Bacterial small subunit ribosomal RNA
Source: RNAcentral